CUAGGAUAAGGCAUUCUAGCAUAUGGUGAAGAAACUUGAAACUUGGGGCCCUUCACAAGAGGUUUCUUGCCUUUCUUGGCACUAGACUCAUUCUCCACUCUCUUUUCAACUUCACCCUCAUAAGCUUUUUCUUCCUUAUUUUUUUCUUCUUUCUUAUUUUCUUUUCUAUCUUCAAUUACACCAUCCCUCAUCUUUUCAACUACACCAUUUUUACUCUCAUCC
This 222-nucleotide long non-coding RNA is filed under the name Trifolium pratense (red clover). Its description in RNAcentral is "long non-coding RNA (TPRA_LNC009465)". Lineage: Eukaryota; Viridiplantae; Streptophyta; Magnoliopsida; Fabales; Fabaceae. The record is from RNAcentral.